GAUUAACUUGAUUAAAAAUAAGUGCAUUCUUGCUCUUCCAUUUUUGCCAAAGAAUAAAAGCCUGCUAGUUGAUAAGAUUCGCCCCAUCUGGAUAUUGGUAGAGCGAAUUCUCAUUAAUUCCAACCAGAAGUCAAUUAAGGAUCAGUUAGCAAUCAAGGAUGAACGUAGCCGCAAGGGAAAGUGAAUCCAUAUGGAUAUGGCUUUGAGGCAAUCUAAAAGCAGAUGGUGCAAGGUCUCUUCAUCCCCGUAGAAAUUACAGUCUGGAGCAAAGUACUGGAGAUGCUUAUCGAGAAGAUCAUUGCGGGGAAGUCUUUGGUUAAAUAAAUUCCAUAAGAAAAUUUUGACUUUACUCAGAAAUUGACGCUUUCAAAAUUCCUUCC
RNAcentral lists this unclassified non-coding RNA (380 nucleotides) under Hevea brasiliensis (rubber tree). Lineage: Eukaryota; Viridiplantae; Streptophyta; Magnoliopsida; Malpighiales; Euphorbiaceae. The record is from RNAcentral.